GAUGAACGCUGGCGGCGUGCCUAAUACAUGCAAGUCGAGCGAACAGACGAGGAGCUUGCUCCUCUGACGUUAGCGGCGGACGGGUGAGUAACACGUGGAUAACCUACCUAUAAGACUGGGAUAACUUCGGGAAACCGGAGCUAAUACCGGAUAAUAUAUUGAACCGCAUGGUUCAAUAGUGAAAGACGGUUUUGCUGUCACUUAUAGAUGGAUCCGCGCCGCAUUAGCUAGUUGGUAAGGUAACGGCUUACCAAGGCAACGAUGCGUAGCCGACCGGAGAGGGGGAUCGCCCACACGGGAACUGAGACACGGUCCAGACUCCUAAGGGAGGCAGCAGUAGGGAAUCUUCCGCAAUGGGCGAAAGCCUGACGGAGCAACGCCGCGUGAGUGAUGAAGGUCUUCGGAUCGUAAAACUCUGUUAUUAGGGAAGAACAAAUGUGUAAGUAACUAUGCACGUCUUGACGGUACCUAAUCAGAAAGCCACGGCUAACUACGUG
RNAcentral lists this ribosomal RNA (497 nucleotides) under uncultured bacterium. RNAcentral describes it as "partial 16S ribosomal RNA". It matches the Rfam family "Bacterial small subunit ribosomal RNA", at positions 28 to 507 of the family's 1533-position model. The record is from RNAcentral.